AUGGUGCUCCUCCGCUAUGGUGUCUCCUUCCUCAUCGAGCAGCCCCUCCCUCCCAAUGCUAAUGCUCAACUGCUUGAACUCGAUGCCCAUGUCACCCUCUGGAUCUAUGCCACCCUGGCUGAUCCCCUCGUCGACCACGUCGUCGGCGCCACCACGAUCUUCACCCUCUGGAAAAAGAUCCAUGACUUCUUCCUCGCAAAUCGGGCGGCUCGUUUCAUGAUCCUCAACCGCCAAUACCGCAAUCUCAAACAGGGUGAUUUCUCUAUCACCGAAUAUGCCCGUCGCAUGAAGCUCCUCACUGAUGGCCUUGCCGAUAUCGAUCAUGCGGUCACUGAGGUGGAUCUCACCACCCAGUUUCUUCACGGCCUCGACAAACGCCUGGACACGAUCCGGGUAGUUCUGGGUGAUCAGGCCUCCUCCAUGCCGUUCGACACCGUCCUCUCUCGCGUCGCCUUGGCCGAGGAGUCCAUGGAACAACGGGCGGCCAAAGAGAGCGCAUCGGCGUUCGCCUUCUCCGGC
This 519-nucleotide ribosomal RNA is filed under the name Triticum aestivum (bread wheat). RNAcentral's name for it is "partial small subunit ribosomal RNA". Lineage: Eukaryota; Viridiplantae; Streptophyta; Magnoliopsida; Poales; Poaceae. The record is from RNAcentral.